GGAUUGUGGCUCAGCGGUAGAGCACUCGCCUAGCACAGGCAGAACCCGUGUUCGAUCCUCAGCACCA
RNAcentral lists this transfer RNA (67 nucleotides) under Marmota monax (woodchuck). RNAcentral's name for it is "tRNA.Ala". The record is from RNAcentral. Lineage: Eukaryota; Metazoa; Chordata; Mammalia; Rodentia; Sciuridae.